Molecule: long non-coding RNA, 4573 nt
Filed under: Equus caballus (horse)
Lineage: Eukaryota; Metazoa; Chordata; Mammalia; Perissodactyla; Equidae
Description: lncRNA (ENSECAG00000045378.1)
Source: RNAcentral
GCCACUUUACCUUUAUUAUCUCACUUCACCCUCACAACAACUGAGGAGGCCAGUACUGUUAUCAGCCCCAUUUUACAGAUGGGGAAACCGAGAGGGGGGUUGAGUGCCCAGCGGCGUUUUUCUGUUUUCCUCGGCCACUGUCCCAGUGUUGAUCUGUAACGAACCAUCCAAACGCAGUGACUUACUUCCCAGCUCGCGGAGGGCAGGUUGUCUGGGUUCAGCUGAUCUGAGUUGGGCUCGAUGGGGUGACUCUGUGGAGGGUCACCGGGCUGCCGGGCUUGGCCGCAGGCUGGGGAUCGGCCUCAGGUCAGCCCUGCGAAGCUCUCAUCAGCCCUAGGAGGGCAGCUCCUCGGGGCAGGACCUUCCAGAAGCCAAGAACCAAGCCAGAUCCCACAAGUGCACUUAGGGCCUCUGCGUGGUCAAGCCCACGAGUGCCCCAUUGAGCAGAGCAGGUCACCUGGCCAUCCCACAUCGUUGGGAGGCCCCAUGACAUCACGUGGCAAAAGGGGAAUAAAGAACAGGGAGCCAUGACCCACCAUCAGGCACACGGGGGUGACGACCGAGCUGGGUGCUCACCCGGGCAGCCCAGCUCCAGCCUCCUGGUCUCAAGCACCAGGCUGCUCUGCCCCACAGGCCUGGAGAGGGCUCAGCUUUCAAUCCGGGAGAAUGGGAAGCUGCACUGGGUUGAAUAGCGUUGCCCCUCCCGGAACCUCAGAAUGUGACUUUCUUUGGAAAGAGGGUCUUUGCAGAUGUGAUUAGUUAAGAUGAGGUCGUACUGGGUUCGGGUGACGCUAAAUACAAUGACUAGCGUCCUUGUCUGAAGCCGUGUGAAGACACAAAUGGAGAAGGUCGUGUGACCGUGAGGCAGAGAUGGGAGCGAUGCAUCUACAAGCCAAGGGACCCCAAGGAGGCCGGUCCCCACCAGAAGCUGGAGGGGGCCUGGAACAGAUGCUGCCUCGGAGCCCCAGGAGGGACCGACCCUGCCCCCCAUUUCAGACUUCCGGUUUCCUGAACUUGAGAGACAAAUCACCCCUGUCUGAAGCCACCCGGUUUGUGGUCGUCUGUUGAGCUGCCUCAGUACAGAAGCAGCUAAGGUUCCAGGCAGCGAACACAUGAUCUGAUUUCUGUGUGAAAGGCCCCUGGCUGUGACAGGCAGCCAGCGGAUGCUUCUGUCCCUGAAUUACCUUCUUGAGGAAUUUGCCUCAGCCUGUUCCUGCCUAAGGCCCUCCCAUGAGUUGACCCUCAAAGUUUGGGUCCACCGGCUCCUCAAGCCAUUCAGACCCCUCGUCCUCUGGGAGCUUUCCAGGCCACUGGGCACCCAGCCUCCAGCUCUGUCUCCUCUGAACCAUGUGGCUUUUAGUCUUUUGUCUUUUGGCAUAUUUGUGCCUUUUGUCCCUAUCUUCCUUGGCCAUGUGUCAGGGAUAGAUGACGCCCGACAGCCACAAGUGGCCCCCACAACCACGCAGGCGGAUCCCCCCGCACAGAGCAGGGCCCCUGGCUUGGGGUGUGGAGCAGGCACUUUGUCCUCCUGGGUCUCAGUUCACCCAUCUGCAAAAGGAAUGGGUUUGGCUGAAUGGUUUCCAAGGGCUCCUUCUGACUCGAACAUUCUAUGAUCUAAAUACUUAUUUUGGAAUUCUUGGAAUUCCAUCUUAUGAUUCUUCUUGCUCGUUCAAUUACUCAACAAACACAAACCAAGAACUCACCCUGUGGCUGACCCCGUUCUCAGAGCAGGGAUCCACAGCGAACAGACAGUUUCUUCUCUCACAUGGUUGACAUUCCUGUGGGUGAAAAUGACAACAGAAGGGUAUAAAAUGAGUACAUCAAUUUCACAUGGCGACAAGUUCUGUGCAGGAAGUAGGGACACGACGUGGGUGCCGAGGGCUUCUUUAGACAGGUGGUCAGGGCUGUCCUCUGAGCAGGUGACACCUGAGCAGAGCAUGGAAGGGCAUGAGGGAGCAGGUCAUGGGAGAGCUGAGGGAAGAGCAUUCCAGAAGAGGGGGCAGUACAUGCAAAGGCCCUGAAGCAGGAAGACUUUGGGUGUUGGAGGAAGAGCCGGAAGGCAAGUAUAAAUGAUGAGGCAGUGAAUUUCAGCUCGGUUCAGCCUGUGACGUCUCCAUGUUCACAGACAGCCUCUGUGAGAUUUACGCAGCAUCAGGGGAGCAUCCAGCACACCGUGACCCACACUGAGUCCUGCUGAAGUGACCACAACGUUAAGAUGAGAAACUAUAUCAGCCCCAAUUAAAAGGCAACAUUUUGUUCGCAUCAGAGAAGAUGUUCUCUGUUGGGGUCUUAUUGUUGAAUUUCAACAGAAGUCCCAGAAUUGAGUGCCACUGAAUCGUGUGUUCAUCCUUGAUCCAAUCUCUACGGCCAAGGGUGUGGAAUCCUCCAGUGGGUCAAGCUCACGGCUGUUGCAGAAGAGGAAUCCAGACUCCUGCUUUUGAAACAAGGCCUCGCUGUCGAGGAGCAUGGUGCUGCCGGAACGAAGGAGGAGAGAAAACUCAUCAGUUUCUAGGUGGCCUUUUAGGUUCAGCCUUGGAGGCCGCAUAGCAAGACAAGCCCGCUCAGAUUCAAGGAGGGGGAACACCAUCCCACCUCUCACGGGGGUAGCGUCACCACCCACGGUAAUCAGCUGGACACACAUCCUGAGCUUGGCUUUUCCUCUUUCCCCAUUUCACUCUUUCCAGUCCUCAGAUCACCUCCCUAAAUAACCUCCCUGCCUACAAACCCUUGUCUCAGGCUCUGCUUGUGGGGGAACGCAAGCAAAGACCCCGUUCACAGCCUCAACCUCAAGCAGCUUGGACCCUCCCGGCUCACGGGAUGAGGGUUAGUUUAGACAGAAAUGAGUUCCGCAGUGAACUCGCUUCAGUUAGGACGUGUGCUGGUGUCUGGGAGAAAAGCAAACUCACCCGGGAGUAAAUUUCCACAUCAACGCGUCCUCUGCUUUCUUCCACAAAACCACUUAUCUCCCCCAUUUUAAAUCUCUCCCAUUAGUGGCUGCCUGCAUUCCUUGAACCUUGCAUUAUUUGGAAGAGCUUUUUAAUUAUCUUUUAAUUCUUUCUCAAUUUUCUGAUGCAUCAGCAGGUAUAAAAGGGAGGUGAAAAAUUGCUGCCACUGUUCUCCUUGGCGUCAUAAUCCCGUCAUCGGGGUCUGGGUUGACUCCAGCUGCGCCGCGUCCGAGGGACCCCAUUGAAAAGAAAUCCCCCGGGAGUUUGAAUUUGCUUUCUCUGCUGUUGGCUCACUUCACUCUCAUCUGCCUGGAGCACGGAAAGUUCAGAACUCGAGGUCAAACUCGGUGCUGGUUUAUUUCAAAGCAUUUGCCACUCAGGGCUCAGAUUCCCCCCCCCGCUUCUUAAAAACAGCUACCUGUGACUUUUUAGCACUAAAGAACAGUUCGCAUGCUUAAAAUCUUCACUGAUUCAGAAGUCAUGUCAACGGCACGCUCUGAUCCAUCUACUUGGUCUUACUUAGGGGAAGUUCUUUUAAAAAUAGGUCACAGGCUAAUGAUACGGCUAGGACACCCCCAGACACGAGGACCCCAAAGCUCACCAGGUGGACAGAUGAGACCCAAGAUAGCGUGUCCCUGUGCUGGUUGGAUUCUCAGAAAGCCACCAAAUGGUGCUGUGGGUUGAGAGGGUGGCGCCUGGUCUAUGCGUCAGGACACCUGCACCUCAUCAGCAACGCCAUGCUGAGUGUGCAUUCUGUGCCCAGGAACUCUUCCAGGUGCCCACCAGAUAUUGACCCAUUUGACCCUUCCAGUGCCCUUUGGGGAAGACACUGUUGUCUUCCAUUUCAAGCUCAAACAGGAGAAAACAGCCUCAGAGAGCCCAUGUAAUGAGCUGGUGGGUGGUAUCACCUCUCCUGGAACCUAGAACACCAACCCCAGAGCUUAGACCAAUAACGAUCCAUGUCCUGUGUGGCCACCUCGAAAGGAGCUCUGUUAGGGCAGCCAGAUUUAGCAAAUAAAAGUACAGAUGCCCACCCAGCUAAACGAGGAAUAGCGUUCACGUCAGUCUGCCCCAAAUUUUGGAUGGUCCUGAAUUUUAUCUAACAACCGUGGAUUCUGUUAGCAAGAAAGAAGAGGGGGUGGCUGGUGGAGACAGACAUGCCACUGAAUGUCCAGUGUUGAGAACGUGGCCCCGCACACUGCCAGCCACGGAGGGCCUGGACCAAGCAGGGAGCAUGGACUGUGGGACUCAUGUGGUCACCAUGACACCCAUAAAGAGGAUGACGGAGCAAGACGAAGAGGACAGAAGGAACGGCUUGAAUCGUGUGGCUAUUUCGGGAAAGAAAAUGGUAACCAGCAUCCUGGUGAGGACACUCGGGUCGUCUGAGUCCAUGCUGGCUUUGAACAGAGUCAGCAGGGGGUUUCGAAGACGCCUCAGAAUUAUUGCCUUAUCUAUACCCACUUAAACUAUGAUAUACUUAACUUUUUCUUUAAUUUGACUCAGUUUUUUACAUAAAUAAAUGCAUUCAAACAGAAAACUUGAUAUCACAACUGUGAAAGUAAAAUCACUAUCCCUUUCUAUAAAUUGAAGGGAACUCUUAGGAUAAAUCUAUAAGUUUUUUAAAAAAC